UGCACAAUGGGCGAAAGCCUGAUGCAGCAAUGCCGCGUGUGUGAAGAAGGCUGCGGGUUGUAAAGCACUUUCAGUAGGGAGGAAACAGUUGCGGGUUAAUAUCCCGCGACCUUGACGUUACCUACAGAAGAAGCACCGGCUAACUCUGUGCCAGCAGCCGCGGUAAUACAGAGGGUGCAAGCGUUAAUCGGAAUUACUGGGCGUAAAGCGCGCGUAGGCGGCUUGGUCAGUCGGAUGUGAAAGCCCCGGGYUUAACCUGGGAAUUGCAUUCGAUACUGCCAGGCUAGAAUGUAGUAGAGGGAAGUGGAAUUCCAGGUGUAGCGGUGAAAUGCGUAGAUAUCUGGAGGAACAUCAGUGGCGAAGGCGACUUCCUGGACUAACAUUGACGCUGAGGUGCGAAAGCGUGGGGWGCAAACAGGAUUAGAUACCCYGMGUAGUCCACGCCGUAAACGAUGYMASCUAGACGUU
This 468-nucleotide ribosomal RNA is filed under the name uncultured Gammaproteobacteria bacterium. RNAcentral's name for it is "bacterial SSU rRNA". It matches the Rfam family "Bacterial small subunit ribosomal RNA", at positions 365 to 824 of the family's 1533-position model. Lineage: Bacteria; Pseudomonadati; Pseudomonadota; Gammaproteobacteria. The record is from RNAcentral.